Nothobranchius furzeri (turquoise killifish) is the source of this 196-nucleotide small nuclear RNA. RefSeq annotates it as U2 spliceosomal RNA. NCBI's taxonomy places the organism in Eukaryota, Metazoa, Chordata, Actinopteri, Cyprinodontiformes, Nothobranchiidae. The record is from RefSeq and is a predicted model, not a curated record.
AUCUGUGGUCAGCGAGGCCCACGAUCCAGCUAGGAGUCACUGUUAUCGCUUCUCAGUUUAAUAUCUGAUAUGUCCUCUAUAUGAGGACAACAUAUUAAACAGAUUUUUUGUAUUAAGGGGUUGAAUGAGGAGCAUGCUCUCUUCACCCCAAGCAUCGACCUAGCACUGCAGUGCAGCUGGGAGUGGUGCACUCUCU